Myodes glareolus (Bank vole) is the source of this 3635-nucleotide non-coding RNA. The record is from RefSeq and is a predicted model, not a curated record. Lineage: Eukaryota; Metazoa; Chordata; Mammalia; Rodentia; Cricetidae.
AUGGUCAGGUCACCUUGGGGAUGGAAAGUGGAUGUUUUCAUAGGCACGGUCACUCACCAGUGGAGGACAUAAAACUUUGGGUCCUAUGUAUACCUGUGUGUGCAGUACGUAUAUGCUGCAUAUCUAUGUGAGCAGUAUGUGUAUGCUGCAUAAGUGCUGGUGCCCUCAGAGUCGGGGAGACAGUGUCGGAUUUCCAGGAGCUGGAGUUCCAAGCAGUUGUGAGUUCAAAGCAGUUGUGAGCCAACAGCUAUGGGUGCUGGGAACUGAACUAGGGCCCUCUACAAAGGCCGUAGAGCAUCUUUAACCACUGGACCAUCUCUCCAGCCUCUAAUGGUGGACAUUUAAGAAGAAAGGAGGGGCACCUUUAAGUGGUCACGAGGCCAGGUGGUAAUUUUGCAGAGGCACUUCACUUCCCCUCUGUGCCUGAGAGGCAACUAACAGGGUAAUGAUGGGGAAUGAAGCUCUCUCCGGGCAGUGGAGACUGAAAUGCAGUGGUUAUCAGUUUUCGGCAGGGAGCCUGGUGUUUGGUGUCUGUAUAUCCCACCGAGAAUCUGAGGAUGUUUACACAAGCUGGGUUGCCGUGCACCUGCGUGGUGAUUAUCCCGCUCUCUGGCCUGGGACCGUCUCUUCCGGGGAUGCCAUCCUCUAGAGCAGGUACCCACACCAAUUCCAGAGGUGCUGGCAGAGUAAGCUCUAUUUGGGAGAGUCAUGGGUAGUGAGGGGGUGGUCUUCUAAGCUUACCUAGACAUACCCUCCAAAGCUACGAGUCUUAACGAGACCUCCCUAAGGUUUCCUUCCUCUGAAAAAGUCGCUCUAGUUGUGUGUCCCGUGUCCAGUGCAGGCAGAGGCGAUGCUUGCCUGAUGUCUGAUGUCUCCUACCCCUACUGACUCUCACCCCCAGUUCCAAGACUCUCCCCGACUGUACAGAUCCACGCUUGUGUGCUGAGUGGAUCAGCAGCUAUCCUGCUGGCAAGCAGCAGAGUCCAAACUGAUUCCUCAGGGAACCGCAAGCCCUUUUUCAAGCCUUGCUCCACCUCCCAAAUCAGGGGACUAAAGGAGUACCUCGAAAUCCCAAGCGGCUUACGCCCAUGCCCUAAAAACCAGAGUUUAUAACAAACCAAAGCAAAACACUAGGACUGCUCUCACCCCGAGGGGCAACUGGGACCAGGCGCUUCAGCAGGACCAAGAGAUCCAGUUACAGCGGGAAGACCACUCCAGCUGGACAGAGGCCAGCAGGUGGCCGCAGGUGGACAGGGUGGGUGGGGGGGUCUGCGUGCGGCACCGAAAGGGCCUAGGAGCCAGACACAGGCCCCGAGAAGGCGGAAGCUUGGGCAAGUGCCUGUCGCCGCCCUCUGCUCAAAGAGAAACUGCUUCUCCUUGUGGGGAGGGGCAGGACAGGGAUCUUCCGAGGGGCAGCAGGUGUGUGGUUAGCAGGCGCUGUAGGCUUAGAUGGACCCCUGCUGUGCCUUAGGAGCCGCCCAAGACCCCUCUCUCACGCUGGGGGCGGUCUCUCUCGACCGAGGUCACCUCCCACCCCUAAACUCCUCCCCCCACCACUUCCAGGCCGCGCGAGUUUCAGCGACCCCGGGGUCCCCAGGCUUGGCUAGAGACUACCCGGGAAUAUCCCUCAGGCCUCCAGUCCCCACCGCUGUGGACCUGAGUCUACAACCGCGUCCACCACUUCCCAAGAAAGAUCGAGACUGCCGACGUGGUAUCGGUCCGAGAGGUCGCCUAGCUGCCACCUGCGGGGCCACCUGCUUCUCUGGUCAGGUGUGACCCGGGCGCUCCUGGCCUGGGAGAGGGACCAGAGCUCUGCGGCCGGUACCGAGCGACCUCUUCUCCGCCUCUCUGGGAGUCAGGCUCGGUGCUGGGGUCUCCCGCUCAGAGGGGCGCCGAGACAAAGGCUCCAGGGCGGCCCCGCUCGUCCCUGAUAAUCAUCACUCACCGGUGCUGGCUGCGGCUCGGAGGUCAAGCGGCGCCAGGGAGCUCGGCAGGAGGAACCGGACGCUGGGUUCGGGGUCGCUGGGCCGCGGGUCCUGGGUUUCGGGGUCGCGAGACGCCGGCCGCCUGGGCCAGAGACUCGUCCUCGCUGGCGCUCAGCGGCGGUGACUGACAGUGGCUGCUCUGGGGACGGGCACGCACCCCGCUCCCGCCCCGCCUCACUCCGUCUGCUGGCAGGUAAACGCGCGCCACUGGAAGGGCGGGGGACACACGGGGACCCAGGGGCAGGGCAACCCUCCGAGUGGCGGGGCGGGGCUUUGCUCGUCACCGCCCUAAGCUCCUCUUCGCGCUGCUACUCUCUGAACUUCCCUGCUUUGGAAACCUGGAGAAUGGGAGCUCACAACAGCUCUCAACAGAGGUCUGGAUGGCAUUGUCCACCAUGUAUCAUGGGUUACCUGGAUCCCUGGUACCUGUCCCUGAUGAAGAGGUCAGUUGCACCCGAGGUGGAUUUCUGAGUUCUAGGCCUGAAGCUGGAGCUGAGACCACAGGUGCUGGUUGGAGGGCCCAGGACCAGGACUCCUGUUGUCAGGAAGACUCCCAACAAGAAAGCGUCCCCUUUCUUCUACUCUGGAACCUUUUUGUGCUUACUUGAACACAGGUCCCGUGCUGUCACGUGGAUCUUUUGACUCCAUCAGCCUGACUCUGGGUAGGUGAGAGGAACUAGUGGAUAGGGACCAUACCAAGUCUCUAGUUCUUAUCUAGUUAAGUAAACCCUACUAGAGAAUCAAUCAGACAACCUAGUGACACACCCAUACAUGCAAAGAACAGAGGACAGGAAGUCUCAGCUGGCUCCUAGGGAGUUUCACAUCCUCCUGGAAGGUGGAGGAUCCAGCAACUAUGUCCAAAUGCCAGUCUUCUGAAGGCAAAUACUUUCCCAGCAGUCUAGAGACACCCACCUGGUCCUUACCUAGGAACUGAUGGUGACGAGGAUGUAGGUCCUGGGAUUUGGAGGGAAGGAUGAAAAAGCAGGGGAAACAUAAGAUGGAGUGACCUUAAGCCUCCCUGAAGCAAGAGAGCCACCAGGGUAGGGAUGUCCAGUGCUCACGACUGGCCAGGCCACCCUUGGUGCUCAGGCCACCGGAGAAUGUUGGAACUUCGGGUCUCAUCCCAGACAUCAAAGCUCAGUGUCAGCAGCCAGAAGACAGAUGUGUCCUAGAGUCCCCGCCCUGCAGAUGUCAGUGAAUCUGGGAGCUGCUAGUCAUGAUGGGAACAACAGCCUCCUGACCUCCAAGGCUUUGUUGGUUCCCGGGGACAGCAGGUUUCCCUCCUGGUGGCCGGCAUGGCUGAUCCUGCCAGACCCUUCUAAAAGGAUUUGUGAAAUGUUGCCUGCAAUGUUUGUGGGGAUACAAUGCUUGUGUAGAUAGGUGUCCUGUGGAAUAUUACUUUUGACAAAGAUGUGUUACAUUUGUUUAUAUAUGUUGUAUUUAUUUAGCUAUGUAAUGAUGUGUUACAUUUGUUGAUACUGUAUUUGUUUAACUAUGUAACGAUGUGUUACAUUUAUUUAUGCUGUGCUUUUCAACUAUGUAAUGAUGUCUUACAUUUGUUUAUGUUACAUUUGUUUAACUAUGUAAAGAUGUGGUGUUUUACCUGCCUAAGGCACCUGAUUGGUCUAAUAAAAAGCUGAGUGGCCAAUA